GAUGAACGCUGGCGGCGUGCCUAAUACAUGCAAGUCGAGCGAACAGACGAGGAGCUUGCUCCUCUGACGUUAGCGGCGGACGGGUGAGUAACACGUGGAUAACCUACCUAUAAGACUGGGAUAACUUCGGGAAACCGGAGCUAAUACCGUAUAAUAUAUUUAACCGCAUGGUUCAAUAGUGAAAGACGGUUUUGCUGUCACUUAUCGAUGGAUCCGCGCCGCAUUAGCUAGUUGGUAAGGUAACGGCUUACCAAGGCAACGAUGCGUAGCCGACCUGAGAGGGUGAUCGGCCACACUGGAACUGAGACACGGUCCAGACUCCUACGGGAGGCAGCAGUAGGGAAUCGGCCGCAAUGGGCGAAAGCCUGACGGAGCAACGCCGCGUGAGUGAUGAAGGUCUUCGGAUCGUAAAACUCUGUUAUUAGGGAAGAACAAAUGUGUAAGUAACUAUGCACGUCGUGACGGUACCUAAUCAGAAAGCCACGGCUAACUACGUG
Molecule: ribosomal RNA, 497 nt
Filed under: uncultured bacterium
Lineage: Bacteria
Description: partial 16S ribosomal RNA
Rfam family: Bacterial small subunit ribosomal RNA
Source: RNAcentral